This 794-nucleotide unclassified non-coding RNA is filed under the name Hevea brasiliensis (rubber tree). The record is from RNAcentral. Lineage: Eukaryota; Viridiplantae; Streptophyta; Magnoliopsida; Malpighiales; Euphorbiaceae.
UCUCUCUCUCUCUCUCUCUCUCUCCCUGUCUCUCUGUGCGCACAGAUGUCUAAUCAGAUUUUGCGUUAACGUGUUUGAAUCUCUGCGUACGCGCAUAUACUCAUACAGGGGAGGGAGAGAUAUACAUAGAAACACAGAGAGAAUGUCGAAGAAGAAAGCUUUCAGUGGCAAUACUAUGACUCUCAAGGACUUUCAUGGCGGUUCUAUCCCAACUGAUCUCCCUCUUCCUUCUGCUCCUGGUGUAAUUGUUAGGUCUUCGGAGUGCUCUGGUUACGACCGUCCAAAUUCAUGGGGAGGGUCAAUGGGUCGUCCCGAUCACCGUGCCAGGCCUAAUUCGUCCCCUGCCACUAGGCAUUUCGAUGAUAAAACCCCUUUUCUCAGUCAUACAACACAGAUAGGCCGUCAUUUCGAUGAGGACGAACGCAAGCCUUUAGAUGGUGUUUCGGCUCCACGCCGGACAGUGGGUGAUGAGAGCUUUCGUGUUCCACCCAGUAAGAUAGAGCUCAAGCCGGAGCCUGUGUUGAGUGGGAGGGUGUCAGUUUCAGCUUCAGCUUCAGGGGUGCAGUUUGCAAGUUCGUACUCAGGGAGGGUUAGCGAUGGGGCUUAUGUGGGGGCGAGUCUGCAGAAUGUAGGGGGUAAUACUGGGCACAGCGUUGGAGGGUCACACCCAAAUGUAUGGGCAGCCAAGAAGGAGGUGGUGGUGGGUGUUAAUGAGCCAGUGCAAUCCGCGUGGUCAGGUGCAAGUGCUGUCUCAAAGUUAGCCCUUGCAAGUGCUCUUGAAAAGGUGUCUUCAG